AAAUUGAAGAGUUUGAUCAUGGCUCAGAUUGAACGCUGGCGGCAGGCCUAACACAUGCAAGUCGAACGGUAACAGGAAACAGCUUGCUGUUUCGCUGACGAGUGGCGGACGGGUGAGUAAUGUCUGGGGAACUGCCUGAUGGAGGGGGAUAACUACUGGAAACGGUAGCUAAUACCGCAUAA
Molecule: ribosomal RNA, 182 nt
Filed under: Escherichia coli
Lineage: Bacteria; Pseudomonadati; Pseudomonadota; Gammaproteobacteria; Enterobacterales; Enterobacteriaceae
Description: partial 16S ribosomal RNA
Rfam family: Bacterial small subunit ribosomal RNA
Source: RNAcentral